GCAUGUGAGGGCGAUCUGGCUGCAAUAUCUGUCACCCCACUCAUUGCCAUGGUUGAUUUGGCUGAUCUGGCUGGCUAGGCGGGUGUCCCCUUCCUCCCUCAGCGCUCUAUGUGCGUCCCACCCUUUUGUUAAAAUUCGGAGGCUCCAGCUGGCUGGGCUAGCUUCACGGGCAGGUAACAGAGACGCGCGGACACAUGGCUGGGCAGGGAAGUGUAUUUCUUUAUUUAGGAACAACGAUUCAUAAACUAAACCAAACUAAUCACCAAACAGAACUCUGUUGCCUCUU
RNAcentral lists this small nuclear RNA (286 nucleotides) under Erinaceus europaeus (western European hedgehog). Its description in RNAcentral is "7SK RNA". It matches the Rfam family "7SK RNA". Rfam says of the family: 7SK was discovered as an abundant small nuclear RNA in the mid-70s but a possible function has only recently been suggested. Two independent studies have found that 7SK RNA binds the CDK9/cyclin T complex (known as elongation factor P-TEFb). P-TEFb activates transcription by phosphorylating the C-terminal domain of RNA polymerase II. The record is from Rfam by way of RNAcentral. Lineage: Eukaryota; Metazoa; Chordata; Mammalia; Eulipotyphla; Erinaceidae.